GGCUCAGAUGAAACGCUGGCGGCGUGCUUAACACAUGCAAGUCGAUCGGUAACAGGUGUAGCAAUACAUGCUGACGAGAGGCGGACGGGUGAGGAACGCUUGGGAAUCUGCCUAUCAGCGGGGGACAACCCGGGGAAACUCGGGCUAAUACCGCAUACGCUCUACGGAGGAAAGCCGGGGACCGCAAGGCCUGGCACUGAUAGAUGAGCCCAAGUCGGAUUAGCUAGUUGGCGGGGUAACAGCCCACCAAGGCUACGAUCCGUAGCUGGUCUGAGAGGACGAUCAGCCACACCGGAACUGAGACACGGUCCGGACUCCUACGGGAGGCAGCAGUGGGGAAUAUUGGACAAUGGGGGAAACCCUGAUCCAGCGACGCCGCGUGGGUGAAGAAGGCCUGCGGGUUGUAAAGCCCUUUCGGUAGGGACGAAAACUCUUGCCCUAACAAGGCAGGAGCUUGACUUAACCUACAUAAGAAGCACCGGCUAACUCUGUGCCAGCAGCCGCGGUAAUACAGAGGGUGCGAGCGUUAAUCGGAAUUACUGGGCGUAAGGCGCACGUAGGCGGCUUUGUAAGUCGGAUGUGAAAUCCCCGGGCUCAACCUGGGAACUGCACCCGAAACUACAUUGCUAGAGUAUGGGAGAGGGAGGCGGAAUUUCCGGUGUAGCAGUGAAAUGCGUAGAUAUCGGAAGGAACAUCAGUGGCGAAGGCGGCCUCCUGGACCAAUACUGACGCUCAGGUGCGAAAGCGUGGGGAGCAAACAGGAUUAGAUACCCUGGUAGUCCACGCCCUAAACGAUGAGAACUGGAUGUCGGGAGGGUUUGCCUUCCGGUGUCGUAGCUAACGCGAUAAGUUCUCCGCCUGGGGAGUACGGCCGCAAGGGUGAAACUC
This 888-nucleotide ribosomal RNA is filed under the name uncultured bacterium. RNAcentral describes it as "bacterial SSU rRNA". It matches the Rfam family "Bacterial small subunit ribosomal RNA", at positions 21 to 902 of the family's 1533-position model. The record is from RNAcentral.